RNA transcript from Cynocephalus volans (Philippine flying lemur), 2091 nucleotides. It is a transcript of the gene named leucine rich repeat containing 37 member A3, with no coding region annotated. NCBI's taxonomy places the organism in Eukaryota, Metazoa, Chordata, Mammalia, Dermoptera, Cynocephalidae. The record is from RefSeq and is a predicted model, not a curated record. The transcript is spliced from 10 exons.
UCUGGGAUAUGGGGACAAAACAGUAUGUCUCACCAAAUCAUAUAGUAGAGCUGAAGCUGGAGCAUGAACAGGAGAAGACGCACCUAUUACAGCAGCAUAACGCAGAGAAGGAUAGCCUAGUCCGAGACCAUGAACGGGAAAUUGAAAACCUGGAAAAACAGCUUCGCGCUGCCAAUAUGGAGCACGAAAAUCAAAUUCAAGAGUUCAAGAAACGAGAUGCACAGAAUUCUCAACCAUAAUCCUCUGAGUACUGUUGAAGAUUCACAUCUUUUUAAAUUGCCAGCAUUAAAAUAUCUAGACAUGGGAGCAACACAAAUGUCACUUACAGCAAUUGAGAACACCAUCCUGAUGACUCUUGAAUUGGAAAAACUGAUGUCUUGGGCUGUCCAUCUUCCAGUUCCCUGUCCUGUUCCACUUGGUACAUUAAGAAAUGACUCCUUGGAAGCUCAGCUUCAUGAGUAUGUCAAACAAGCAAACUAUGUGAAAGUGAAGACAAUUCUUAAGAAAGCAGGUCCCUUCAUCAAACCUCCCCUAGUUCCAGGCUAUGAUUCUCUGGAUAGCACUAUUGUCCUUUCUUUCUUCUGCCAUGGAGAACCUCCCAGACCUUCUUGCUUCUUCACAGCCCUCUACUCUGCAGCUUCUGCUGGUUCUCUGCACCCUGAGUAUGACCAGAUGGAGCACCAGAAGGUCGAAGCUUCUUUUCACCCACAGCCUUUGCAUAUAAACUUAGGACAAUCAGCUAUUCUCUGUGUCUCAGUCUCCACAUCUCUAAAAUGAUGUUCCGGUUUCCACGUACACAAGUCCAAAGAACAUCUUCAAAAAGCGUUGGAAUCCUAGCCAAUAUCCACCAACACGGUCUCAUGGAAAAACGCCAAGUACCUUUGCUCCUACAAUAAAAUGUAUCAGGAACUAUGAAGCCAUUUGCAAAAGGGAUAAGGGACUAUGUGACAGGGCUUAAACGGGAUGGAGUCCUAGAUGUGGAAUUACUUGGACAAAGGAUAAAAUGUGUUUAAGGAUUGUGAUACAUAUUGCUUAGUUGCCUUCCAGAAAGUGGGAGAAAAGAGGAAUUUUUUAAGUGAUGAACAGGAGAGAUGCCUGAAGACACAGGAGGAAAAGCAACAGAUUCUGACAACCCAGCAUCACUGAGUUUGACAUAAAUCCACGGCCUGGUAAAUGAAUUGUUAAACAGAUGGUUUGUGAGCAUCUGGAUGAACGGAAAUGAUCACUAACAAACAACAUGGGCUCUCUUCAAACAUGUUGAAGAUUACGACAAAUUAAGCCCAAUUCCAUUUUUUGACAUAGAUUAGUUGAUAAGGGGAAAUACAUUAUCUAUAAAGUAUGUCUCCUUUUAACAAAGCAUUUGAUGAUUAAUCUACUGGUAUUCUUGGGAGUAAGAUACUGAACUGUGGAUGAGUAUAAAGAACUGCUGGUUGACUUGGCAGCUGCUUGUACAAACUGUGUGUGAAAGGUUCUCCUCAAUAACUAGAAUAUGAAACCCUCAAACCCCACGGAAUUUCAUUAGCUCUAAUAGGUAUAGACUAUAUGAAAGUAAAAGUAGGGCUUGGAGAAUAAUUCACUAUUUUAUUUAAGAGAGCAGAAGCAUAAAUGUCUCCCAUGAAUAUGAUCUAUUGCUAUUUGUUUUAAAUAUAAAUCUUUAAAUUUAAAGUGAGCCUGGACACCUAACAAUGUUGAUUUAUACUGGCCCUUCAGGAAGAUCAUAGAUCUUAAGAAACAUUCUGAAAAUAUCUAGAUAUGUGAACAAGCACGAAUACAUCAAGGACCUUUACAGCUGACUGUCCUUGUCACCUAGAUCAAAAUAAAUCCAAGUUUCUGUUUAAGCUGUCAAGAACAUCCAUGAUUUUCCCCUUGUUUCCACAUGUUCUCUCAUUAAUUUUUUGCAACAUAGUAUGCUACCUCCACCUAUUUGCCCUGUUCCAAAAUCAUUGCAUAUAUCUGCCAAUAUGCCAGAGCUGAGAACCCUCACACUAUGUACAUAAGAAUGAAGGUCUUUCAAAAUGUUCAUGGAAAGAUUUGUAUUAUCCUUUAAUUCUAUUUUUCCAUGAACUUUUUCAAGUAUCCUCAUAUUCUCCU